UUUCCGUAGGUGAACCUGCGGAAGGAUCAUUAUUGUAUAGCCGAGGUGCGAGGGCUGUCGCUGACCCGAAAGGUCGUGCACGCCCGAGUGCCCUCACACACAUCCAUCUCACCCCUAUGUGCACCACCGCGUGGGUCCCCCUUUGGCUUGUUCGGAGGGGGGCUUACGUUUUCACACAAACUUUGUAUGCAGUGUAGAAUGUAUUUUUUGUUUUUGCGAUCACGCAAUCAAUACAACUUUCAACAAUGGAUCUCUUGGCUCUC
This 263-nucleotide unclassified non-coding RNA is filed under the name plant metagenome. Its description in RNAcentral is "partial contains small subunit ribosomal RNA, internal transcribed spacer 1, and 5.8S ribosomal RNA". The record is from RNAcentral.